Molecule: long non-coding RNA, 667 nt
Filed under: Androctonus crassicauda
Lineage: Eukaryota; Metazoa; Arthropoda; Arachnida; Scorpiones; Buthidae
Source: RNAcentral
GUUGAGUGGUUUCGGAGAUUAGCGUGGAGAAAAAUUUGAACAAGAUAUAUAUAUAUAGGGAGAGUGUGAGCUAAUAGAAGGAAUUGAAAAAGAAAGUUAUUAUACAGGAUUUAAUAUUUUGUUACAUUAUGUAAAUGAGCUGUGAUAUAAGUACAGGCGCAGUGUUCUCUCUCGCCUUCUCUCUUCGUUGGUUGGUGGUAUGUCGUCCUGUUAUUGUCCUGGGUGUAGUGAACUUUGUCAACUGUUGUGGAUGUUAUUACUUGUUGUGGACAUUACUACUUGUGGUGAACAUUAUUACCGUUGUGGACAUUAUCUUGCGUUGUGAACGUUGUUAUUUGUUGUAGACGUUAUCGCCUAGCUCGGCCUUGUGUUUUUUUGUAUUGGAGUUGUGUUUGCCGAGAACUUUAAGAAGAGAGAACAAGUAUGAUUUUUAAUUAGAUUAACAAGUUACUUAAUAGUUAGCUAUUUUGAAUAAAUUUAAAUUCUUUACUUGUUUAUUUAAUGUCGUCAUUAUUGGAAGUCGUGAGAAUGAUUUUGGACUGGCUGGAGACCUGGGAGUGGGGUGGUUAUAUCCGCUUUGGUUGGAGAAGAAGAAAUGCCGAUCAGAGACCCCGGGGUCCGAACCUCGGCGAGGAGCCAUCCCUUGCAACCUUUUUUAGAAAGAUAG